Molecule: non-coding RNA, 29 nt
Filed under: Mus musculus (house mouse)
Lineage: Eukaryota; Metazoa; Chordata; Mammalia; Rodentia; Muridae
Source: RNAcentral
UCCAAGAAAAGUGGUGAAUGGAAGUGUGC